Molecule: long non-coding RNA, 416 nt
Organism: Zonotrichia leucophrys gambelii
Lineage: Eukaryota; Metazoa; Chordata; Aves; Passeriformes; Passerellidae
Exons: 3
Source: RefSeq, a predicted model, not a curated record
GGAGAAGGGACCUGGAGUCAGUUGGCUGCUCUGUGAAGAGUAAAGUCAGUGCUCUGAGGAGUAACCCAUGAGAAAACACCACAAAAGUAUGGAACUUUUGCGAUAAGGAGACAAAAAUACUUGGCUCUGACUUCAACAGUAAGAGUGUCAAGCUGUUUUGAAUUCCUGUUAUCUCUAAAAAGCAAAGUGCCUUGUGACAGAUGUCACAGAUGGGAAGUUGAGGAAAAGAAGAUUUUGGAGCAAACUUGAACCAAUUCAACAGAGCAUUAAAAAAGUCUGGAAUUGAGGUCAGUAGCCUGGCUGAUUAUCACAAACUUGGACUUCCCUUUGAAGUGUUGUAAGGACAUCUAUGCCUUUACUACUGGUCGUCAGAUGGGGUAGAUUAAAACCUUUUAUAGAAACAAUCUUUGAGUGAG